ACAUACUUCACUUAGUAUGAGAAUCUCUAGUUGCAUCCCUGUUGCUGCAAAUGGCAUUUUUCAUUCUCUUUUAUGCUUGAGUAAUAUUCCAUUGUAUAUAUGUACCACUUCUUCUCUAUCAAUUCAUUUGUCGAUGGACACUUAGGUUGCUUCCAUGUCUUGGAUAUUGUAAAUAGAGCUGCUAUGAACAUAGGAGUGUGUAUAUCUUUUAGAAUUAAGAGUUUUCUUCUGGAUAUAUGCCCAGAAGUGGGGUUGUUCUGGCUGUUGUGAAUGCCUGAAUCUUGACAACAAUCUUCACAUGCUAAAGAAACAUAAUAAACUAGAAGUUGAGUGCUUCCCUUCAAGAACAUGUUCCCGCCCCAGCAGAGUAUCAGUAGUCAAUUUUCUCCAUUUUUUCGUGCUCAUUAUUUCAGGAGAUUCCGUUUGAUGAGAGAGCUGCACAUACAAGAGACUUGCGGGAAGCAUGGACCUUAGUGAAAAAUGGCCUUUGGAGGAAGGAACCUGGCUGUCUCACGCUGGAGUUCAUCAUUUUGCCAACACCAGAGGGGACAACGAGUUUGUGGAAGCCUCUCCCGCGCCCUACAGCCCGGAGGAGUUCGGUAAGUCUGCCCUUUUUGCCUUUUCUUGUUAGAACCCAGCCUGGGAAUCGCGAAUUUGGAGUCCAUGCCCGAGGGGCGGAGAGAAAGGGCUGGCUGGGGACUCUCGCCCUGCUGCACGUUCCUUUGCUGUGAGAACUGGCCUUUUCCUGGAGCGUGAGCUUUGGAGGUGGCAGGGUGAGAGUCGGCUGUGCGGUGUGUGCGUGUGUGUGUGUGUCCUGGUCUUUGGUGAUGCUCCCAGGAGCGCCACAGCAAACUUCCUGAUCUGCGGGACCCUGCAAGCAGGCGGUCUCAUCCUGCCUGGAAAGAUGUAGCUAGCCGGUAAAUGCCACAAG
This 931-nucleotide long non-coding RNA is filed under the name Bos grunniens (domestic yak). RNAcentral describes it as "lncRNA (ENSBGRG00000010731.1)". Lineage: Eukaryota; Metazoa; Chordata; Mammalia; Artiodactyla; Bovidae. The record is from RNAcentral.